GAGUGGCGAACGGGUGAGUAACACGUGGGUAAUCUGCCCUGCACUCUGGGAUAAGCCUUGGAAACGAGGUCUAAUACCGGAUAUCACCACCGUGGGCAUCUUCGGUGGUUGAAAGUUCUGGCGGUGCAGGAUGAACCCGCGGCCUAUCAGCUUGUUGGUGGGGUAAUGGCCUACCAAGGCGACGACGGGUAGCCGGCCUGAGAGGGUGACCGGCCACACUGGGACUGAGACACGGCCCAGACUCCUACGGGAGGCAGCAGUGGGGAAUAUUGCACAAUGGGCGCAAGCCUGAUGCAGCGACGCCGCGUGAGGGAUGACGGCCUUCGGGUUGUAAACCUCUUUCGCCAGGGACGAAGCGCAAGUGACGGUACCUGGAUAAGAAGCACCGGCUAACUACGUGCCAGCAGCCGCGGUAAUACGUAGGGUGCGAGCGUUGUCCGGAUUUAUUGGGCGUAAAGAGCUCGUAGGCGGUUUGUCGCGUCGGCCGUGAAAUCUCCACGCUUAACGUGGAGCGUGCGGUCGAUACGGGCAGACUUGAGUUCGGUAGGGGAGACUGGAAUUCCU
RNAcentral lists this ribosomal RNA (564 nucleotides) under Amycolatopsis sp. 384E03. Its description in RNAcentral is "bacterial SSU rRNA". It matches the Rfam family "Bacterial small subunit ribosomal RNA", at positions 93 to 671 of the family's 1533-position model. The record is from RNAcentral. Lineage: Bacteria; Bacillati; Actinomycetota; Actinomycetes; Pseudonocardiales; Pseudonocardiaceae.